Molecule: ribosomal RNA, 895 nt
Filed under: uncultured bacterium
Lineage: Bacteria
Description: bacterial SSU rRNA
Rfam family: Bacterial small subunit ribosomal RNA
Source: RNAcentral
AGAGUUUGAUCCUGGCUCAGAUUGAACGCUGGCGGCAUGCUUUACACAUGCAAGUCGAACGGCAGCACGGGUGCUUGCACCUGGUGGCGAGUGGCGAACGGGUGAGUAAUGCGUCGGAACGUACCGAGUAAUGGGGGAUAACGCGGCGAAAGUCGCGCUAAUACCGCAUACGCCCUGAGGGGGAAAGCAGGGGAUCGCAAGACCUUGCGUUAUUCGAGCGGCCGACGUCUGAUUAGCUUGUUGGUGAGGUAAAGGCUCACCAAGGCGACGAUCAGUAGCGGGUCUGAGAGGAGGAUCCGCCACACUGGGACUGAGACACGGCCCAGACUCCUACGGGAGGCAGCAGUGGGGAAUUUUGGACAAUGGGGGCAACCCUGAUCCAGCCAUGCCGCGUGAGUGAAGAAGGCCUUCGGGUUGUAAAGCUCUUUCAGCUGGAGCGAAACGGUACGCUCUAACAUAGCGUGCUACUGACGGUACCAGCAGAAGAAGCACCGGCUAACUACGUGCCAGCAGCCGCGGUAAUACGUAGGGUGCGAGCGUUAAUCGGAAUUACUGGGCGUAAAGCGUGCGCAGGCGGAUUGUUAAGCAAGACGUGAAAUCCCCGGGCUUAACCUGGGAAUGGCGUUUUGAACUGGCAGUCUAGAGUGCGUCAGAGGGGGGUGGAAUUCCACGUGUAGCAGUGAAAUGCGUAGAGAUGUGGAGGAACACCGAUGGCGAAGGCAGCCCCCUGGGAUGACACUGUCGCUCAUGUACGAAAGCGUGGGUAGCAAACAGGAUUAGAUACCCUGGUAGUCCACGCCCUAAACGAUGUCAACUAGUUGUUGGGGGAGUGAAAUCCCUUAGUAACGAAGCUAACGCGUGAAGUUGACCGCCUGGGGAGUACGGUCGCAAGAUU